Molecule: ribosomal RNA, 253 nt
Filed under: uncultured bacterium
Lineage: Bacteria
Description: partial 16S ribosomal RNA
Rfam family: Bacterial small subunit ribosomal RNA
Source: RNAcentral
UACGUAGGGUGCAGGCGUUAAUCGGAAUUACUGGGCGUAAAGCGUGCGCAGGCGGCCUCUUAAGUCAGAUGUGAAAUCCCCGGGCUUAACCUGGGAACUGCGUUUGAAACUGGGAGGCUAGAGUGUGGAAGAGGGGGGUGGAAUUCCAGGUGUAGCAGUGAAAUGCGUAGAGAUCUGGAGGAACACCGAUGGCGAAGGCAGCCCCCUGGGCUGACACUGACGCUCAUGCACGAAAGCGUGGGGAGCAAACAGG